This 253-nucleotide ribosomal RNA is filed under the name uncultured bacterium. RNAcentral's name for it is "partial 16S ribosomal RNA". It matches the Rfam family "Bacterial small subunit ribosomal RNA", at positions 524 to 776 of the family's 1533-position model. The record is from RNAcentral.
UACGUAGGGGGCGAGCGUUGUCCGGAAUUAUUGGGCGUAAAGAGCGUGUAGGCGGUUCUGUAAGUCUGCUGUGAAAUCCUGGGGCUCAACCCUGGGCGUGCAGCUGAGACUGCCGGGCUAGAGGGUGGUAGAGGCGAGUGGAAUUCCUAGUGUAGCGGUGAAAUGCGCAGAUAUUCGGAGGAACACCAGUGGCGAAGGCGGCUCGCUGGGCCACACCUGACGCUGAGACGCGAAAGCGUGGGGAGCGAACAGG